UACGGGGGGGGCAAGCGUUGUUCGGAAUCACUGGGCUUAAAGCGCGUGUAGGCGGGUCGGAACGUCGGUCGUUGAAAUCCCCCGGCUCAACCGGGGAAGGGGCGCCGAUACGGCCGGCCUGGAGGGACGUAGGGGGGGCUGGAACUUCCGGUGGAGCGGUGAAAUGCGUUGAGAUCGGAAGGAACGCCCGUGGCGAAAGCGAGCCCCUGGACGUCUACUGACGCUGAGACGCGAAAGCCAGGGGAGCGAACGGG
This 254-nucleotide ribosomal RNA is filed under the name uncultured bacterium. RNAcentral's name for it is "partial 16S ribosomal RNA". It matches the Rfam family "Bacterial small subunit ribosomal RNA", at positions 524 to 776 of the family's 1533-position model. The record is from RNAcentral.